AUUGAGCUGCCCUUCCUACGGGAGGCAGCAGUCGGGAAUAUUGGUCAAUGGGUGAAAGCCUGAACCAGCCAUGCCGCGUGCAGGAAGACGGCCUUCUGGGUUGUAAACUGCUUUUAUCUGGGGAUAAAAAGGCCUUGCGAGGCAAACUGAAGGUACCAGAUGAAUAAGCCACGGCUAACUACGUGCCAGCAGCCGCGGUAAUAAGG
RNAcentral lists this ribosomal RNA (206 nucleotides) under uncultured Bacteroidota bacterium. RNAcentral describes it as "uncultured Bacteroidetes bacterium partial 16S ribosomal RNA". It matches the Rfam family "Bacterial small subunit ribosomal RNA", at positions 324 to 528 of the family's 1533-position model. Lineage: Bacteria; Pseudomonadati; Bacteroidota. The record is from RNAcentral.